CAGCAGUCGCCGCGGUAAUACGGAGGGCGCGAGCGUUACCCGGAUUUACUGGGCGUAAAGGGCGUGUAGGCGGCCUGGGGCGUCCCAUGUGAAAGGCUACGGCUCAACCGUGGAGGAGCGUGGGAUACGCUCAGGCUAGAGGGUGGGAGAGGGUGGUGGAAUUCCCGGAGUAGCGGUGAAAUGCGCAGAUACCGGGAGGAACGCCGAUGGCGAAGGCAGCCACCUGGUCCACUUCUGACGCUGAGGCGCGAAAGCGUGGGGAGCAAACCGGAUUAGAUACCCGCGUAGUCCCUGUCUCUUAUAC
This 304-nucleotide ribosomal RNA is filed under the name uncultured bacterium. RNAcentral describes it as "partial 16S ribosomal RNA". It matches the Rfam family "Bacterial small subunit ribosomal RNA", at positions 509 to 807 of the family's 1533-position model. The record is from RNAcentral.